CCUACGGGAGGCUGCAGUGGGGAAUAUUGCACAAUGGGCGCAAGCCUGCUGCAGCCAUGCCGCGUGUGUGAAGAAGGCCUUCGGGUUGUAAAGCACUUUCAGCGGGGAGGAAGGCGUUAAGGUUAAUAACCUUGUCGAUUGACGUUACCCGCAGAAGAAGCACCGGCUAACUCCGUGCCAGCAGCCGCGGUAAUACGGAGGGUGCAAGCGUUAAUCGGAAUUACUGGGCGUAAAGCGCACGCAGGCGGUCUGUCAAGUCGGAUGUGAAAUCCCCGGGCUCAACCUGGGAACUGCAUUCGAAACUGGCAGGCUAGAGUCUUGUAGAGGGGGGUAGAAUUCCAGGUGUAGCGGUGAAAUGCGUAGAGAUCUGGAGGAAUACCGGUGGCGAAGGCGGCCCCCUGGACAAAGACUGACGCUCAGGUGCGAAAGCGUGGGGAGCAAACAGGAUUAGAUACCCCGGUAGUC
RNAcentral lists this ribosomal RNA (465 nucleotides) under uncultured Klebsiella sp. Its description in RNAcentral is "bacterial SSU rRNA". It matches the Rfam family "Bacterial small subunit ribosomal RNA", at positions 338 to 795 of the family's 1533-position model. Lineage: Bacteria; Pseudomonadati; Pseudomonadota; Gammaproteobacteria; Enterobacterales; Enterobacteriaceae. The record is from RNAcentral.